RNAcentral lists this ribosomal RNA (441 nucleotides) under uncultured bacterium. RNAcentral describes it as "partial 16S ribosomal RNA". It matches the Rfam family "Bacterial small subunit ribosomal RNA", at positions 338 to 795 of the family's 1533-position model. The record is from RNAcentral.
CCUACGGGAGGCAGCAGUGGGGAAUAGUGCACAAGGGGGGAAACCCUGAUGCAGCAACGCCGCGUGAAGGAAGACGGUUGUCGGAUUGAAAACUUCUGUUCUUAGGGAAGAAGAAUGAAGGAAGCAAAGGAGCAAGCAACGGCAAACUACGUGCCAGCAGCCGCGGUAAUACGUAGGGGGCAAGCGUUGUCCGGAAUUACUGGGGGUAAGGGGAGCGCAGGCGGGAAGCCAAGUCAGCUGUGAAAACUACGGGCUUAACUUGUAGACUGCAGUUGAAACUGGUUUUCUUGAGUGAAGUAGAGGUUGGCGGACUUCCGAGUGUAGCGGUGACAUGCGUAGAUAUUCUGAGGAACACCGGUGGCGCAGGCGGCCCACUGGGCUUUAACUGACGCUGCGGCUCGAAAGUGUGGGGAGCAAACAGGAUUAGAUACCCUAGUAGUC